AAAAUAGGGAAAUGUGAUCUAGAUGAAAUUACUAUAAGGUGGGUGCACACUUGGUUGAAAGACCAUACUCAAAGAGUAGAUAUCAAUGGUUUGCUGACAAACUGGGAGGACAUAUCUACAUGGGU
Molecule: long non-coding RNA, 125 nt
Organism: Gopherus evgoodei (Goodes thornscrub tortoise)
Lineage: Eukaryota; Metazoa; Chordata; Testudines; Testudinidae
Exons: 4
Source: RefSeq, a predicted model, not a curated record